Molecule: ribosomal RNA, 250 nt
Filed under: uncultured bacterium
Lineage: Bacteria
Description: partial 16S ribosomal RNA
Rfam family: Bacterial small subunit ribosomal RNA
Source: RNAcentral
UACAGAGGGUGCGAGCGUUAAUCGGAGUUACUGGGCGUAAAGGGCGCGUAGGCGGUUUAAUAAGAUUGAUGUGAAAUCCCUGGGCUUAACCUAGGACGUGCAUCGAUGACUGUUAAGCUGGAGUGCGGCAGAGGGGGAUGGAAUUCCGCGUGUAGCAGUGAAAUGCGUAGAUAUGCGGAGGAACACCGAUGGCGAAGGCAAUCCCCUGGGCCUGCACUGACGCUCAUGCACGAAAGCGUGGGGAGCAAAC